CGGUAACAGCUCAAAUUUGAAAUCUGACCUUUCCGGGUCCGAGUUGUAAUUUGUAGAGGAUGUUUCGGAUAAGGCUUUGGUUUAAGUUUCUUGGAACAGAACGUCAUAGAGGGUGAGAAUCCCGUAUGUGACUGGCUGCCUUCGCCUAUGUGAAGCUCUUUCGAC
RNAcentral lists this ribosomal RNA (165 nucleotides) under Helotiaceae sp. RNAcentral's name for it is "partial large subunit ribosomal RNA". It matches the Rfam family "Eukaryotic large subunit ribosomal RNA", at positions 99 to 261 of the family's 3401-position model. The record is from RNAcentral. Lineage: Eukaryota; Fungi; Ascomycota; Leotiomycetes; Helotiales; Helotiaceae.